GGGAAAAAAUCGCAAAAAAUCAGGAAAAAAUCGGAAAUAAAUCCAGGAUGACGUCUCAUCGUCUCUGGAUCACAGGACACCUCCAGGAAGGCCAGGAGAUGCGGUAAUUGGCGGAUCAAUUGAAAAAUUGACUCAAAAUCGAAAAGAAAUCAGGAAAGGAAGGCAAAGAUAGAAAAUAUCCGGUCAACAUCUGGAAACGAGUCUAAGGUAAUUGCAUUCUUGGUCUCAAAAUCGAAGACAGUCAGAGGAUCAGAGGCGACAGUCUUCAGGCAUGUGCAAGUUUUGGGGCUGGACAAUAGAUUCAAGCAACAGCGAAACUACUUGUCAAAUUUAUUUGAAUAUGGAUGCAGCGUCACAAUGAAAAUUGCAGAUUUGUUGAUUUCUGGCUCUUGCAGCAUCCAGAAAUUCAUAACCAUUAGAAUGUCUGAUAUUUGUUUCAGAAGAAUCGGUAUACAGAAUUUCCCAGGUGAUUGAUGACACUGUUUGUUGGCAGCUAAGGUGAUUAAAUAUCCCAUGAGAAAAUUGGAAGAAUAGAAGAGUAUUGACGACAGU
This 552-nucleotide unclassified non-coding RNA is filed under the name Athalia rosae (coleseed sawfly). RNAcentral's name for it is "misc RNA ENSAEAG00005006219.1". The record is from RNAcentral. Lineage: Eukaryota; Metazoa; Arthropoda; Insecta; Hymenoptera; Athaliidae.